Molecule: ribosomal RNA, 457 nt
Filed under: uncultured bacterium
Lineage: Bacteria
Description: partial 16S ribosomal RNA
Rfam family: Bacterial small subunit ribosomal RNA
Source: RNAcentral
CCUACGGGUGGCAGCAGUGGGGAAUAUUGCACAAUGGGGGAAACCCUGAUGCAGCGACGCCGCGUGCGUGAAGAAGUAUUUCGGUAUGUAAAGCUCUAUCAGUAGGGAAGAAACCCACCCUACGGGGUGGCUGACGGUACUUGACCAUGAAGCCCCGGCUAACUACGUGCCAGCAGCCGCCGUAAUACGUAGGGGGCAAGCGUUAUCCGGAUUUACUGGGUGGAAAGGGAGCGUAGGUGGCAAGGCAAGUCAGAUGUGAAAACCCGGGGCCCAACCCCGGGAGUGCAUCUGAAACUGUCUGGCUUGAGUGCAGGGAAGGUAAGUGGAAUUCCUAGUGUAGCGGUGAAAUGCAUAGAUAUUAGGAGGAACACCAGUGGCGAAGGCGGCUUACUGGACUGUAACUGACGCUGAGGCUCGAAGGCGUGGGGAGCAAACAGGAUUAGAUACCCGGGUAGUC